Molecule: ribosomal RNA, 562 nt
Filed under: Clostridioides difficile
Lineage: Bacteria; Bacillati; Bacillota; Clostridia; Peptostreptococcales; Peptostreptococcaceae
Description: bacterial SSU rRNA
Rfam family: Bacterial small subunit ribosomal RNA
Source: RNAcentral
GUAACGGCUUACCAAGGCGACGAUCAGUAGCCGACCGGAGAGGGUGAUCGGCCACAUUGGAACUGAGACACGGUCCAAACUCCUACGGCAGGCUGCAGUGGGGAAUAUUGCCCAAUGCGCGCAAGCCUGAUGCAGCAACCCCGCGGGCGUGAUCAAGGCCUUCGGGUCGUAAAACCCUGUCCUCAAGGAAGAUACUGACGGUCCUUGCGGAGGAAGCCCCGGCUAACUACGUGCCAGCAGCCGCGGGAAUACGUAGGGGGCUAGCGUUAUCCGGAUUUACUGGGCGUAAAGGGUGCGUAGGCGGUCUUUCAAGUCAGGAGUGAAAGGCUACGGCUCAACCGUAGUAAGCUCUUGAAACUGGGAGACUUGAGUGCAGGAGAGGAGAGUGGAAUUCCUAGUGUAGCGGUGAAAUGCGUAGAUAUUAGGAGGAACACCAGUUGCGAAGGCGGCUCUCUGGACUGUAACUGACGCUGAGGCACGAAAGCGUGGGGAGCAAACAGGAUUAGAUACCCUGGUAGUCCACGCUGUAAACGAUGAGUACUAGGUGUCGGGGGUUACCCCC